GGUUGGUAGCCGAGCGGUUAAAGCGAUAGUUUAUUAAGCUAAGGUGGGUUCAAUCCCCACCAACGGCA
Molorchus minor is the source of this 68-nucleotide non-coding RNA. The record is from the annotation of a GenBank genome assembly. Lineage: Eukaryota; Metazoa; Arthropoda; Insecta; Coleoptera; Cerambycidae.